Molecule: ribosomal RNA, 219 nt
Filed under: uncultured bacterium
Lineage: Bacteria
Description: partial 16S ribosomal RNA
Rfam family: Bacterial small subunit ribosomal RNA
Source: RNAcentral
UAUCGGAACGUGCCCAGUCGUGGGGGAUAACGUAGAGAAAUUUACGCUAAUACCGCAUGAGAUCCACGGAUGAAAGCGGGGGACUUCGCAAGGAGCCUCGCGCGACUGGAGCGGCUGAUAUCAGAUUAGGUUGUUGGUGAGGUAAAAGCUCACCAAGCCGACGAUCUGUAGCUGGUUUGAGAGAACGACCAGCCACACUGGGACUGAGACACGGCCCAG